Molecule: ribosomal RNA, 484 nt
Filed under: uncultured bacterium
Lineage: Bacteria
Description: partial 16S ribosomal RNA
Rfam family: Bacterial small subunit ribosomal RNA
Source: RNAcentral
AUUGAACGCUGGCGGCAGGCCUAACACAUGCAAGUCGAGCGGAUGAAGGGAGCUUGCUCCUGGAUUCAGCGGCGGACGGGUGUGUCAUGCCUAGGAAUCUGCCUGGUAGGGGGGGAUAACGUCGGGAAACGGGCGCUAAUACCGCCUACGUCCUGCGGCCGAAAGUGGGGGAUCCUCGGACCUCACGCCAUCAGAUGAGCCUAGGUCGGCUUAGCCAGUUGGUGGGGUUACGGCCUCCCAAGGCGCCGAUCCGUAACUGGUCUGAGUGGAUGACCGCUCAGACUAGAUCUGAGACCCCGUCCAGUGUCCCACGGGAGGCCCCAGUCUGGAACCUUGGCCCAUGCGCGACUGCCUGAUCCAGGGAUGCCGCGUGAGUGAAGAACGCCCACGGAGUGUAGAGCACUUUAAGGUGGGAGGAAGGGCAGUAUCUUAAUACCGUGCUGUUUUGACGUUAGCAAGAGAAGAAUCACCGGCUAACUUCGUG